GGUUACAAUUCUCAAACAGGGCCGUAAACUUGAUUAUUUGCUAGGAUAAUACUGAAUUUUUCUUUUUUUUCCUUCCUGCUCUUGGAUUUGAUGUUGACUCAUACAGUGGCAGAGACAAUAAUGCAAAAUUUUCCCAAUCAUGUAUUCUUCAGCAAAGGCUCUUGAUUAAGCCUUUAAUCUCUCCUGGAUUAUUUAUCCUUAAAAAUAUCAGGCUUGGCUUCUUCCUCCCCCUUUGUGGGAACCACAGCUUGAGAUUUUCUAUAAAUGAGCUACUCUCUUCCUUCUCAUCAUACUCUGGCAGCAACCCUUUCUUACAGAGAAAAUGGAAGCAGGUCCAUUUUUAGUCUAUGUGCUAAUAGCAACUCUCAUUCUUCAAUUCUCUACCCUCACAAAUUCUAGCUCAGCCACCCAAUACAUCAGAACAUCAUGCAGCAACACAACCUAUCCAAGAUUAUGCUACCACUCCCUUUCAAUCUAUGCAAGCNNNNNNNNNNNNNNNNNNNNNNNNNNNNNNNNNNNNNNNNNNNNNNNNNNNNNNNNNNNNNNNNNNNNNNNNNNNNNNNNNNNNNNNNNNNNNNNNNNNNNNNNNNNNNNNNNNNNNNNNNNNNNNNNNNNNNNNNNNNNNNNNNNNNNNNNNNNNNNNNNNNNNNNNNNNNNNNNNNNNNNNNNNNNNNNNNNNNNNNNNNNNNNNNNNNNNNNNNNNNNNNNNNNNNNNNNNNNNNNNNNNNNNNNNNNNNNNNNNNNNNNNNNNNNNNNNNNNNNNNNNNNNNNNNNNNNNNNNNNNNNNNNNNNNNNNNNNNNNNNNNNNNNNNNNNNNNNNNNNNNNNNNNNNNNNNNNNNNNNNNNNNNNNNNNNNNNNNNNNNNNNAUAUUGUGUGUCUCCUUGUGGUUGUUAGUUGAGUUUGUUGGGAACCCACUUCUCAGGAGAGGUCAAGUAAGAGAAAUUUUAGCCUUAAUGAUUAUGGGUCAUCCUCUUCUGCAAUUAUUGAUUAUAGGUUUCAAUACUUUGGUGUGUAUGGUUAAUUAUGAUCAGUUAUUUUAGUUGUAAACACUUGAGGUUUCUUUUAGGUUGAUUUGAAAGUGAAAAUGUAGAUUUUCUUUCAUGUUGUAUGCUUAGCAAACUAUGUUUUAUAUUCAUCUGUAAGAAUAUGAAAAUUAAUUUACUCUGAGAAAGGAAAUUUCCCAUGUAAUUGUUCUUCUUUCAAUUCUACUUUGCUACAGGGAGACUCUUAUCCCUUUCCAUUUGUUUCAGCCAGGUGAUAGAUUUUAGUAUCGGAAUCUAGUUAAAUUAAAUCGAAAUUAAAAUAAAUAAAAUUGAAUUAACCUGAAUUAAUAUUGAACCAAUUCAAAAUUAUUUUUUCCUAAAGACCAAGGAUAAUGGUGGGAGUUUUGAAAAAAUGUACUAAUUUUAUUGUGUUAUUCAUAAUAAAAUUUUAGAGUAUAUAAAAGUUUUUAUAUAUUUUAGUUAUAAAUCUUAUAAAAAUAUUAUCAUAAAUAGUAUAUAUAUAUAUAGAAUGAUUGCAUAAAUUAGCAUGUUCUUGUUGCUUACAUCAACAUCAUUAUAAUCUAGAUAAAUAGGAGUGGAAAAGAUUGGAAAUAGUUGAUUCUUUUCCCUUUUUCUUGGCUGGUCAGGUUAGUUGUAUCACUUUCUACUCAUUAUUAAAGAGCAACCAAUGGUCUUUACAAGAAGUAAAUUAAAUAAAUAAAUUUUAGCUGUAUUUCUCGUGACAACGUAUCAUUUGUUAGUUUUUAGUUUUUUUUUUUUUCAAUUACAAAAUUUAAAUAAUUAAUUUUAAAAAUAUAAAAUAUAAUAUGUAAUAUUAUAUUUAAUGAUGUAACACAAUAAUCAUCCAAAAUAAAUAAUAUACUGGCACUCAAAAAUAAGGUCACGUGGUAAGAGUUUGAUCAAGUGAUAUUCGGUUUCACCGAAAGAAAAGAAGUUUCGAAUGCUAGGAAGUUUUGAAUGCUUCAAGUCUCAGCUUUUCGCUAAAACUCGUCUUUCCAACUACAGGAUGAGUCCUCACGACAAGUUACCGUUAGAAAACGCAAUCUAACAAAUUCCUAUUACACCUAUUGAUCGAAUGUUAUUUCAAUAUAUUUUUCAUAUAGUUUUUAGCAUUGAAUUGAAUAUUUUUUUUAAUUAAUUUUAUAUUUUUUUGUAAUAUUUCACAGAAAAACAGAAAAGCAAAAGAGAAAUAGAUUUGAUAAAAAUGUGUUAAAAAGCGCUAAAAUUGAUUUGACCAACGAUUUGGACAAACCUACAAGAUGAUUGUGUUUCACAUAAUUCAGAAUUAUCCAGACUUUCAGUUAGAAGAUUAGAGCAGUGAUUUGUCUAAACCACUAGGCAAAUCAACAGUCUGCACAAAGACUUGACAGUGAGCUGAAAAAUAAUUCAAAUUUAAAAUAAAAGAUUGGGCCUCCUAAUUCAAAGCUGUGGGACCCACUCGAUUUUUCCUCCUUUAGUGUAGUAUGAUAUCUUCUCAAAUCAAGGAGUUCUCUCGUGAAUGGAAACAUAUUAAAAGAAUGAUUCCUAAUUUGAAGCAUAGAAGAUUUUAUAUUCCCAAAAGGAUUCCAUUAGGGCUCAACAUCUAUUUAAGGCCAUUUUGGAGGACAACCGCAUAUCAUCUUCGAUCUCUCUCUGCCAGCUAAUUCUCUCUUCUCUUUUAUAUUUUCUUUCAAAGUUAUAAGUGGCUAAACUUUUUAUUUCUAAUUGGAGUUUGGUUGAAAUUUCAGUUUAUACAUGAAUUGUGAGAUCAAAAAAUAAUUGGUCAUUUUUUAUUCUUCUAAUAUUUAUGCAAUUUCAGUUCUUAAUAUUAUUAUUACUUUGUUAUUUGAUCAAUAUGAACCAUUGUUCAUAUUUUCAAAGUGAUAUAUUGGUGGUUUGAAUGCUUGAAAUAUGUAAUUGCUUAAAUUCUUCAACAAUAAGUAACGAUUAGUGUAACCCACUAAAAAAUUGCAUAAUUUAGCUUGAACUCAUUACGCGGUUUGAUUUGUUGGUUAGAAUUGAGUCUCUCUAAUUCUUAAGACAGUUGAUAAAUUAAAAUCCCAAAAAUAUUCUUUGGGCACUUUGUUGACUAGGGUUAAUUAGCGAACGGUUCCUAAUUAAUUUAAAUCUAAGGAGAGAUUGUUUAUGAUAAGUAUCUUCUAUAACUAAAACUAAUUUAUUGGAAUGAAUAAAAAUAUUUUUAUUUCUAUGAUCAAUUUUCAAAACUAAAAUGGAUCCUAAACUUCAACUAGAAUUUGUUUACAUUGAUUUAUUUCUCUUUUGAUUAUCAUUUUCUUUAAUUACUUUGAUUUUUAUUUAGCUCAUCAUUAAAAACCCCUUUUUACUUUCAUUAUUUAUUUUUCUAGUCAUCGUUUAGAAUUUCUUAGUGUCAAUUUUCUGUGGAUUCAAUCGUAUUCACUCUAUACACAAUUCAUAUUUAUUUAUUUUUAAUAGAUUAUUUUUUAUGGUUUCGACACCCAUCACUAUAAUAUCAGGAUCCCAUACCCACUAGCCGGUACUAGUCGGAUUUCUAGGAGAUGUGAUAACCAACUAUAUCUUCUGACAGAAUAAAAGCAGAUGAAUACAAAGACCAAGGUACACAAUUCUUACACAACUACUAUUAAGUUUAAAAUACUAUAUUACACAUGCCAUUCUUUUCAAUUUACUGACUUGAGCAUUAAAGUAGUUGCUGUAGGCGCUAACCACCUCACAUUUUCUUUUUUUUUUUUUUUGCAGAUUGACCAAUCACAGCACAACUCUAUUUCAACCACAUUAUUUGGUUUCAUUGCAGGGAUUUUCAUUGAAUUAUCUAUGUUUAUUUGGAUUAAAACUGGUUUCUUAUUCCCUUUCUCUUUAAAAAAAUCUUUCUUUUCUUCUUUUUUCGAAAUGGUUGACAAUUCAUGAGUUGUUGCUGAGAUUACUGCUAAUAAGGUUGCUAUCAUUUCUUCCACUUCUGGCAGUGGACAAAAUACACACACUCUAUGGUCAAUGAGGCAGAUCUCAACAAUCUGAAUAAUGAGCAAAUGCUCCAAUACAUUAAAAGGAUGCAGGGCACUCUCGAGUAGUAUAAGAUUUGAGAGGAUGCCUCAUUUAUGGUUCCUAGGAUAAGGGAGGGCGCUUGCAUUGAUAUCCCAUGGACUCGGAUAUAAGCGAUCCAAGAGUAGUCCAAAAGAAAAGCCAAACUAGUGGAUGAGGAUUCGUUAGUCGAGGCUCCAAAUUAAGAACGUUGACUGGAAGCUGGUUCGAGCCGUGCAAAGGUACCAGAAGGAGCAAGAGGACUAUGGCUUGGAAGAUGCCUCACCCCUAUCAGAAGAGAUCUUAGCAGAAACUUUCCAAACCAAGUUUAAGCUAUCAAGCCUAGAAAAAUAUGAUGGAACAGUAGAUCCCAGAAGUCAUAUGGCGAUCUUUAGGACAACCAUGCAGCUUCAGCAUGUCAACGACUUCAUGUUGUGCCCGAUAUUUCCAUUAACACUAAUAGGUUUGACUCAAAAAUGGUACCAACAUCUGUGCACAAGUUUAAUUCAGAAGUUUACACAAUCUGUUUUUUAAUUUAAAUUCAGAUUUAGUACUUAUAUACCUCCUAAAAAGCUCUCAUCUGACUUGCGAAAGAUCCACCAAGGAGAGGGCGAGUCUUUAAGGAGAUUUAUCUCACGGUUUAAUGUAGAAGCGAUACAGAUAGAGGAAUUAAAUCAUGAUAUAGCAUGUGAAGCGUUAAAGAAAGGAAUACAUAACAUCAAGUUCAUAGAUUUUCUAAGCAAGAACUCAGUUGCUAUGUACCAAUAGUUAAUGGACAAAGUUCAGAAGUACAUCAGGUUGAAUGAUAAAGUCCAAGCAUUGAGAGAGGAUAAAAUGACGACUCAAAAGCAAAACAAGAAGCCAGAAAGACAAGAAUAUGAAGGAGACCGCAAAAGUUACCCAGUCUUUCAAAGAAGGGAUGGUCAAGGUAAGUAUAAGAAUUAUACUCCAUUGAGGUAACUCACAAACACAUAUUCUAGUAUGGAUUAGGAAAAAUGACAAGGAAAUCAGGUGGCCUUUCAAGCUCAACCCUGAGAAAGCCAAAAGGUGAGACAUGACCAAGUAUUGUCACUUCCACAAAGACCACAGCAGAUAACGGAGGAGUGCCGGCAGCUAAAAGACAAGAUCAAAAGGUUAAUAAGGAUAAAACACUUCAAAAGUUUUCCAGAAAGAGUAGAGAAGAGAGGAGGCUUGAACACGAGGUAAUAACUCAUGAAACCACCCUUGACAGUUGUAACGACCCGAAAAUCGGACCGCUACCGGCGCUAGGAUCCAGAUCGGCUUAAGGCCGCCGAAGGUGCCGCCGAACCUGCCCUGUUCAACCUUCCUUUGCAUGUUUUUGCAUGAUUGUUUUGAGGUGUUUUAGGGGAUUUUUGAGGGAUGUUUUUAGAGUUAUGUUCUAGUUGUUUGGUCCCUCAUUUGAGUCCACCUGUGUAGGUUCGGACCCGAGGAACCGAGGACCCCAGCAGUGAGUUCAGCUGCUUCUGAGUCUGUAGAGCUUCAGCCAGAGGUGAGUAGAAUAAACCUUUACGAUUUAAAGCAAAUAAGUUAUAAAGUCUUUAGCAUGUUCAUGCAUCAUGAAUGCCAUGUGAUGAAUUAGGUUGUUUGCAUUAGAAUACACAAAUAUGUUGCAUUGCAUUUAUGAUGUUGAUGUUGAUUGGUUAUUGAAUGAUCCUUUAGUCCUCAUAUGGUAUGAUGAUGCUACGGCAUGAUAUGGUAUGGAAGUCCAGGUUGUACCCAUUCUACGUUCCUGGCACUAUGUAAGAGAAAGUCCAGGUUGUACCCAUUCUACGUCCCUGGCACAUUGGUAUGUAUGAUAUGUUAUGUUAAGAGAAAGACCGGUUGUACCCAUUCUACGUCCCGGCACUUUGGAAUGUAGAGGACUAUUGGUGACAAUACCAUCCGAGAUGUGAUUUGUUGUGAUGUGUUGCAUUACAUGAUGGCAUGAGAUCUUAAAUGUUGAUUUCUAUUAUUCUGCUCACUGGGCUCUAGUAGCUCACCCCUUUUCCCUAAUCCCCCAGGAUUGCAGGUACGGGCUCGACAGAGAAGUCAAGAAGAGUAAAGUCUUGUAAUUGUAAUAGUUAGAAAGUGGACAUGAUAAAUUAUAAGAUGAUGUAAAGAUGAAUAGUUAUGUUAUGUAUUUGUUCAGUGCAUGCACAGGUUGAGUUUGGUGUAUGAUAGAAUGUAUGAAGGAAAAGUUUUAAAUUUUUAUGUAUGUUGUUGAUCAUGUAUGGGAUUAAACAGGUUUACAGGUUACAUGUCAGGCUUGCUACGGGUCCCGGCGGCCUUAAGCCGAUCUGGAUCCUAGCGCCGGUAGCGGUCCGAUUUUCGGGUCGUUACAACAGUGAACCCAAUGAUGCUAAGAGAAAAAUAGUCACGUUGUAGAAGACGUUCUAUCAGUGGAGCGGGAACCAUGGACCAAGUAGGAAGUAAAGUUUAGACCUGCAAAUAGGCUUCUUUCAAAAUGACCUGCUAGUUAUCAACAUCCAUUUGAACAAGUAUGAAGUGAGGCGAGUCUUAGUGGACUCACGUAAUUCUAUUAAUCUCCUCACCUUAGAUUUUUUUAAUAAACUAGGCUUAGAUAAAAAUAAUUUUGUUAAAGUCUCCUAUCCAUUAAUGGGAUUAGGAGACAAGACUAUAACAGUACCAUCAACCUCCCCAUUGUGCUGAGUGAUGAAAAGCACAAGCGGGAGUUGUAUGUAGAGUUCAUGGUAGUAAAUAUCCUGCUCGCAUACAAUGUAAUAUUAGGUCGCCUAGUCCUAAACUGCCACGGUAUAGUUAUUAACAUGUGUGCUAGUAUCCUAAGCUACCAGCUCCAAGAGGAUUGACGGUCGUUUGAGGUAACCAUAAGUCAGUUCGUAUAUGCUAUAAACACUGCACAAAAAGCCUUGAGAAAGUGAUGAUGCCCACUUGCUGGAGAAACCUAAUCCUCACAUAAAACUAGAAGCAGCACCCCAAAAUCUCAAUUCAACCUGGAUCAAGCUAUGUUUUUACGUGAACAGAUUGCAAUCAGAAUGGCAAUUUAUAGGGAAAAGAUGUACAUAGUGUUCAAUAGUAAAGUUAGGUCAUGUGUCUUUAAUGUAAGGGACUUAGUCCUUAAAAUAACAAAUGUAACAGACGGUAGUAUCAGUUUUGAUAAGUUAGGUGAAAAUUGAAAAGGACCAUUUAGGAUCUCGAAGGUUAUUCGUCCACAGUCUAAUAAGCUGGCCAAAUUAGAUGGCUGAGUCUUUCCUCACUCCUGGAAUAUAUGUAAUUUGAGAAAAUUUUAUAAAUAACAAUUAACAAUAUAUUUUUUUCAUGUGUUGUAUUAUUCAGUGAUAAGAAACGAUGGAGUUGCCUUCUUCAAAAAAAUUAAAGAGCGUUCAUUAAAGGCCAAAAGGUGGGUAUCCACCAUACCAUAAUCCGAGUGUUAGUCCCGCUAAACAAGACAUUUUAUGCUAGGUCACAAGUCGAUUUUCCGUCAUGCCAUAAUUCGGGUGUUAAUCCCACUAAACAAGGUAUUUUAUGCCAAGCCAUAAGGCGGAUAUCUGCCAUGCCAUAAUCCGGGUGUUAGUCCAGCUAAACAAGACAUCUUAUACCAGGCCACAAGGUGGAUAUCUGCCAAGCCCAUAAUCCGGGUCUUAGUCUUGCUAACUAAGGCAUUUUAUGCUAAUGCCACAAGGCGAAUAUCCUUCAGGCCCACAAUUCGGGUGUUAGUCCCGCUAAGGAAUUGUAUGCCACAACCACAAGGCGGGUAUCCGUCAGGCCACGCAACCGGGUGGUAGCCCCAUUUCACAAAAAACUUCUAAGGCAUUUUUAUGCUAGGCCAUAAGGUGGACGUUCGCCAGGCCAUGCAACUGGGUGUUAGUCUCGUUUCACAAAAAAUUUCUAAAACAUUUUGAUACCCAGGCUAUAAGGCAGAUAUUUGCCAUGCCACGAGACCGGGUGUUAGUUCCUAUUAUAAAAAUUUCUCUAAGGUAUUUCAAGCCAGGCCAUAAGGCGAGUAUUCGUCAAGCCAUAUAUCUGGUGUUGAUCCCGUUUUUCAAAUUUUCUAAGUUAUUUAUUUGAUGGCCACUAGUUAGGCUAGUAACUGGGUAUUAUAGUCAGGUGUUAAACCCCUUAACAAUCCUUUAAAGAGAUUACUUAAGUCUUCUUGAUGAUAGUCGAAUGAGAGUUAUGGUCGAGUAACGAUCAUACAAAUACUUUGUAAAAAUAAUGAUAAAAUGAAAUGAAAAGGUUUUUUCAUUAAAAAAAGGGAGUAUUAUAGGGCAGGAGGGACAUCAUUAUUCGCCUCCUCCCGAGCUUUCGUUACAGGCUCACCAUUUGCUAUUAUAGUAGAAGCCGGGUUAGGAGGGUUGUCUUCGAUUACCCCUUCCUCGUCCUACACAUCCUUGUCCUCGUCCUCCUCUUCCGGGAAGAUGUCGUCGAUCCAGGAGAAGCCCUUUGUAGGAAAUCGCCUGAUGAGCUCCUUCUUGAUAGAAUCUUGACCUUGUAUGAACUUCUCCCCACCCCAGGCCACUGUCUCCUGAAACUCAGCUUCUAGUUUAGCUACUUUAUCUGUGAUGGCCCUAGCCUUCUCCACUUGGGAUUGCAGCUUCUGGAUUUGGUGCUGAAGCAUGGCCAGUUGACUCUCGACUUCUUGUGCCCGAUUCUCAAGGGCUAACUUUGAAGUAUUUGCCUGGUCCAGGUUCGCCUGGAGCUUAUCCACCGAUUCUAGUGUCUCCUUCAUUGUACCCUCCACUUCCUCAAUCUGAGCCUUCAGCCUCAAGUAUUCCUCUUGUAGGAGACCUUUGUCUGUCUCCUAGGCACCGAACUCUCACCUUAGAGCUUUGUUAUGCUCCUUAGCCAUAUUAUCUCAAGGGGCACUUUUCAUUGCAGAGUGUAUAAUGUUGUCAUAAAGAUCAUCUGUCUCGACAACAUUUAGCUGAUGACGAUCCUCAAGCCUCAGGGCAUUUUUAGCAAUAAGGACUGACAGCUUGGGUUCCUCGAGUAGUGAUGACGUUCGAGUCAGGGCCAUGGCCAGGUGUUGAAUGCCCCGGGGCCACACAACUUCGGCUUCAGUACUUUCUCGAGAUGGCUCGGCAGGAUAGGGGCUACUAUGGGAAUGCCCCUGGAGGAAGACUCAAGUUGAAUGGGGAUGACUUCGUCGGUGGUAGGUGGAGGAGGGGGAGGAAGAGUGAUAAUCUCCUCGGCGCGACGAGUACGCUUAUGUGGAGGCGCAAUCGCUCCAGCAACAGCCUUACCUUUUCGGGCAGCAUGGGCAAUUUGGGCAAAUUUGGCUUUUGAUCUGGCCAUUUCUGCAUAGAAUAAAAAGUGAGUAAGUAAGAGAGUUUGAAAUACAAAAGAAGUUGGAAAGAAAAAUACCUUGCUCGUUAGUCAGGGAUGUGCUUUUUCCAAGGCAGGGAAGGCUGGGUGGGUGAGGACCCCAAGCCUAGCUUGCCUAGAGAUGGCUCUGCCAAGAUAAAAUGACAUUCCUCAGCGCCUUGAUGAUGUCUAUCUUCUAGGAUGUGGCCAUCGUCUGGAGAAAGUCCAAAGCCUCUUCCUCACUCCUCCAUGGCUGGACCCCAUCCUUUCUCAGCUCCACAUAUAUGUUCCAGCUCGUUCAAAGGGGACUGAAACCCCUAAAUACCCGGUGGCGGAGAAUGAAAAAUUUAUUCUUCCACCGUUUCAAAGAUGAGAGGAUCCGAUUGAAAAGCGUUUGACAUUUUCUUCUGCUGAACAACUAGAACUCCUUAUUUUUUUGUGUACCCAGUUAGUACAGUUGCAAGAAAAGCGCAACGCUCAGAUCUAUAUUAUUGUUAAAACAAACAAACCAAAAGGCCAUCAAUAUCCUCCAGUUGUUGGAGUGCAACUGGGCAACUAACAGCUUAUGAAAUCGAAGGACCUCAGUGAAAAAUGGCUCCAUGGGGAACCGAAGUCUCGUCUUUAGCUGCUCUUCGUAGACCAUGAUGGUAUCCUCCAUAGGGAUCUAGUCAUCUACGCAAACGCUCGGAGAUGGAGUGAAGACACGGAAGAUUUCUCAAGAGAUGUGGUAUUGAUUGUAUAAGCGGUAUACGUCCUUCUCAGUUAGUAUGGAAGGGAUUUCAUUGAUCAAUAUACUUUUGUUCUCAUGGACUGCCCUUUGUGGGACAAUGUGUGCCAAAGCGCGAAUGAGACCGUCUGAGGAAGAGCUUGAGGCAGAACUUCUACAAGAGGAAGAGGAAGAAGUGUUCCCAUUCAUUGCUAUGAGAAAAAAUGCGAAAAGGAGUUACCUUGAGUAAGGAAGUUUGUAAAUAGAAAAGAGGAGUGGUCGAGUCUUUUCUAAAAGCGCAAAAGUUAGUUGUAAGCAAAAGUGGUUUUCAGAGGAGAAGAAGGGUUUUUAUACGAUGGCUUCACCGGCAAGUUUUGAAUGCGACUCGAGAAACAGGGUAAUCAUUAUUUAUGGGAAGAAGCAAACAAAAUGAUGUGAGCAUAGAAGACCAAUCUAAACUUGGAUCGUAAAGACAACUGUCACUUUUGAAUAUAAAGAAUCGAAGAUCAGUGGGGAACUUCUGAUGUAGUACAACAAUCACCCAAAGUAGGUCAUGUGUUGGCACUCGAAGAUAAGGUCACUUGGCAAGUGUCUGAUCAAGUGAUACUCAGUCCCACUGAGGAAAAAGAGGUCUCGGACGCUUCAGGUCUCAGCUCUUCAUCAAAACUCGCCCUCUCAACUACAUGGUGAAGCUCCACAAGAGUUACCGUUAGAGAAUGCAAUCCAACAGAUCUCCAUUACACCUAUAAUUGUAGAAUUUUUCAUAUCUACUAACCGAUACUAGUUGGAUUUUCAGGAGAUGCGAUAAUAAACUCCAUCUUCUAACAGUGUAAAAACAAAUAAAUACAGAGAUCAAAAUACACAACUCUUACACAAUUACUAUUAAAUUCAAAACACUACAUUAAACACGUCUUUCUCUUUAAUUUAUUGACUUAGCGUCGGAGUAGCUGUGGUAGACACCAACCAUCUCAUUUUUUUUUUCUUACAAAUUAACCAAUUACGAUACAGUUUUAUUUCAGUCAUAUCACUUAACUACAAAACUUAAAAUAUAUUUUAAUGACUAUAUUAUCAGUUAUUCCUGCAAAAGUUAGUAACCUCGAUUAUCAAUAAAUAGUGAUAUUUCAUAAAUUAUGCUAAGAAAAAAAUUUAAGAUAAAAAUUUCUAUAUUAAAUUAAUACAUCAGUAACUAUAGAUAUAUAUGAUCCAAAAAUAUGCUAAAAACAAAAUAAUCUCAAUAAAUUUUGUAAAUUGAUUUUCUUUGUAACGUAUGAAUUUAUUGUAAUUAAAAUUGAUUUUUGGUUUGCGUGGAUUUAGUAUGAGUAGCAGUCAGAUGUUGAUACAAUAUUCUUUGGUCUUUUUUUUUUUUUAAUUUUCAUCUUAUCAAGAGAUGAAGUAAUUUCUCGUACUGUCAGUUCCUGGUUCUUGAAUCUUGAUUCUUCACCUUUUAUUUUUGUUUUCAAAGGAUGAUGCUUGGUUCUUAUCCUUAAUUUAUCGUUUUGAACCUUAGGAUUAAUUCUUAUCCCAAUCUCUACUCCCACAUAAUCAGGGGUGAAAAAAGUUGGAAAAAAAUGACUAAGGCUCACACAAUUUGUCAUCCUUAUAGCAGCAAUUGCAGCAGAAACGACAAACCUAAUUUGGCGUUUUGUCAUCCCUAAUUGUUACAUACAAAUGUUGCUUGCCUAUUGGGGACACACAAAGAAUUUGAACCGUAACAACCUGGGAACUUGGGUUGAGGCGAUAACUGGGUUGGUUGAAACCUAGGAAGGGUUACAUAAUAAUUACAUAGAUUUUAUCCGACAUCGAUUUUAAAGGAUAUUUAGUAUUUUCACUAAAUUAAAAUAUUAUUAUUUAAUAAUUAAAAUAAAAAAUUAUGAAAAAUUAUUCAUUAUAAUAUUUAAUUAAUUAUUAUUAAAACAGUUAAUAAGUAAUUGAUAUUCUCAAAGAGCCGUAAAUUUGAUUAUUUUCUAGAACAAUACUGAAAAUUUUUCUCUUUUUCCUUCCUGCUCUUGGAUUUGAUGUUGACUUCUACAGUAGCAGAGACAAUAAUGCAAAAUUUUCCCAAUCAGUGCAUUCUUCGACAAAGGCUUGAUUAACCUUUAAUCUCUUCUGGCUUAUUCAUCCUUAAAAAUAUCAGGCUUCUUCCUCCCCCUUUGUGGGAACCACAGGUUGAGAUUUUCUAUAAAUGAACUACUCUCUUCCUUCUCAUCAUACUCUGGAAGCAACCCUUUCUUACAGAGAAAAUGGAAGCAGGUCCAUUUUUAGUCUAUGUGCU
RNAcentral lists this long non-coding RNA (12260 nucleotides) under Manihot esculenta (cassava). RNAcentral describes it as "long non-coding RNA (MESC_LNC000454)". The record is from RNAcentral. Lineage: Eukaryota; Viridiplantae; Streptophyta; Magnoliopsida; Malpighiales; Euphorbiaceae.